CCAACGGUCCUUUUCAGGACCACAGAUAGUCUUUCCAAAAGAGUU
This is a non-coding RNA of Aedes albopictus (Asian tiger mosquito), 45 nucleotides long. The record is from Rfam. NCBI's taxonomy places the organism in Eukaryota, Metazoa, Arthropoda, Insecta, Diptera, Culicidae.